GGGGACCUCUCCCCAAUUCUGUAAGCCCAUGAGGAGAGAGGAAGGCCUUUCUCUCCAUGCUUCUUUUGCGGGAACUCCCUGGCACCAAGGCCAGGGGGGAAAGGACAGUCUCUGAUGAGGAUGGGUCUCUAGACUGCUCUGAGUGCUGUCCCUGCACUGAAGAAGUUAUAGUUCCCUCCCAGGCGGCCCCCCUCCCUGCCCCUCAGCUCAGCCUCAAUCAAGAAGUUCCCCAUCUUUGAUCACCACUCCAAGUAGGAGAAACCGGCCCAGGGCUGCCUUAGAGCCGAGAACAGUGAGCUGGCCAUGACGGAGGAGGUAUGGAUGGGUACCUGGAGGCCCCAUCGCCCCCGGGGACCCAUCAUGGCCCUCUACAGCAGCCCUGGACCCAAGUACCUGAUUCCACCAACAACAGGCUUCAUGAAGCACACGCCCACCAAGCUGCGUGCACCGGCCUACAGCUUCCGUGGGGCCCCCAUGCUCCUGGCAGAGAACUGCUCCCCAGGGCCCCGUUACAAUGUAAACCCCAAGAUACUGAGGACUGGCAAGGACCUUGGCCCUGCCUACUCCAUCCUGGGGCGCUACCAAACCAAGACCAUGCGAA
Molecule: long non-coding RNA, 601 nt
Filed under: Pan troglodytes (chimpanzee)
Lineage: Eukaryota; Metazoa; Chordata; Mammalia; Primates; Hominidae
Description: long non-coding RNA NONPTRT002460
Source: RNAcentral